This 837-nucleotide ribosomal RNA is filed under the name uncultured archaeon. Its description in RNAcentral is "bacterial SSU rRNA". It matches the Rfam family "Archaeal small subunit ribosomal RNA", at positions 21 to 859 of the family's 1478-position model. The record is from RNAcentral.
GGUUACUGCUAUCGGUGUUCGCCUAAGCCAUGCGAGUCAUAUGUUCUUCGGAACAUGGCGUACUGCUCAGUAACACGUGGAUAACCUGCCCUUGGGUCCGGCAUAACCCCGGGAAACUGGGGAUAAUUCCGGAUAACGCACAUAUGCUGGAAUGCUUUAUGCGUCAAAUGGAUUCGUCCGCCCAAGGAUGGGUCUGCGGCCUAUCAGGUAGUAGUGGGUGUAAUGUACCUACUAGCCUACGACGGGUACGGGUUGUGAGAGCAAGAGCCCGGAGAUGGAUUCUGAGACAUGAAUCCAGGCCCUACGGGGCGCAGCAGGCGCGAAAACUUUACAAUGCGGGAAACCGUGAUAAGGGGACACCGAGUGCCAGCAUCAUAUGCUGGCUGUCCGGGUGUGUAAAAUACACCUGUUAGCAAGGGCCGGGCAAGACCGGUGCCAGCCGCCGCGGUAACACCGGCGGCCCGAGUGGUGAUCGUGAUUAUUGGGUCUAAAGGGUCCGUAGCCGGUUUGGUCAGUCCUCCGGGAAAUCUGACGGCUUAACCGUUAGGCUUUCGGGGGAUACUGCCAGACUUGGAACCGGGAGAGGUAAGAGGUACUACAGGGGUAGGAGUGAAAUCUUGUAAUCCCUGUGGGACCACCUGUGGCGAAGGCGUCUUACCAGAACGGGUUCGACGGUGAGGGACGAAAGCUGGGGGCACGAACCGGAUUAGAUACCCGGGUAGUCCCAGCCGUAGACGAUGCACGCUAGGUGUCAGGCAUGGCGCGACCGUGUCUGGUGCCGCAGGGAAGCCGUGAAGCGAGCCACCUGGGAAGUACGGCCGCAAGGCUGUAACUUAA